UCGUCUGAGCACCAGCCAUAGCAUGUCUAAGUAUAAACAAUUAUACAGUGAAACUGCGAACGGCUCAUUAAAUCAGUUAUCGUUUAUUUGAUAGUUUUCUACAUGGAUAACCGUGAUAACUUCAGAACUAAUACAUGACAGCCUUCUGGCGUAUAUAUUAGAUACAAACCAACAGUAUGGUGAUUCAUAAUAUCUUGUCGAACCGAUCUUCGGUGUAUCAUUCAAAUUUCUGCCCUAUCAACUGUCGAUGGUAGGAUCGUGGCCUACCAUGGUAACAACGGGUAACGGGGAAUCAGGGUUCUAUUCCGGAGAGGGAGCCUGAGAAACGGCUACCACAUCCAAGGAAGGCAGCAGGCGCGCAAAUUACCCAAUCCUGACACAGGGAGGUAGUGACAAUAUAUAACGAUCCGGGGCUCUUUGAGUUUCGGAAUUGGAAUGAGUACAAUUUAAACACCUUAACGAGGAACAAUUGGAGGGCAAGUCUGGUGCCAGCAGCCGCGGUAAUUCCAGCUCCAAUAGCGUAUAUUAAUGUUGUUGCAGUUAAAAAGCUCGUAGUUGAAAUUGGGCGGGCUAUUAGUUUAGGCCGCUUCAGGAAGAACUUCUUCCAGUUACUUUGAAAAAAUUAGAGUGUUCAACGCAGGUUUCGCCUGAAUAUAUUAGCAUGGAAUAACAUAACACGACGAGGGUCCAUUUUGUUGGCUUGCAAACCCACGUAAUGAUUAAUAGGGACAGUCGGGGGCGUCAGUAUUGUGUUGUCAGAGGUGAAAUUCUUGGAUUUACACAAGACUAACUACUGCGAAGGCAUUCGCCAAGGAUGUAUUCAUUAAUCAAGAACGAAAGUUAGGGGAUCAAAGAUGAUCAGAUACCGUCGUAGUCUUAACCGUAAACUAUGCCGACUGAGAAUGGGUACCGCUUAUACGGUAUCCGCGCUCUACGAGAAAUCAAAGUGAUCAGGUUCUGGGGGGAGUAUGGUCGCAAGGCUGAAACUUAAAGGAAUUGACGGAGGGCACCACCAGGAGUGGAGCCUGGCGGCUUAAUUUGACUCAACACGGGAAACUCACCAGGUCCAGACACAUUAGAUGACGAUGAUAGCUCUUUCUUGAUUUUGUGGGUGUGGUGCAUGCGUCUUAGUGUGGAUGAUUGUCUGCUAUGCGAUACGAACGAGACUGACUACUAAAUAGCUUCACUUGCCAUGCAGGUAGCUAGCUCUGGAGACAUUCUAUUACAAGGUGAGUGGAGUUUCGAAGGCCAAAUAAACA
This 1259-nucleotide ribosomal RNA is filed under the name Yarrowia lipolytica. Its description in RNAcentral is "SSU rRNA". It matches the Rfam family "Eukaryotic small subunit ribosomal RNA", at positions 34 to 1445 of the family's 1831-position model. Lineage: Eukaryota; Fungi; Ascomycota; Dipodascomycetes; Dipodascales. The record is from RNAcentral.